CUACGGGCUGCUGCAGUGAGGAAUAUUGCACAAUGGAGGAAACUCUGAUGCAGCAACGCCGCGUGGAGGAUGACGCAUUUCGGUGUGUAAACUCCUUUUAUAUGUCAAGAAAAUGACGGUAGCAUAUGAAUAAGCUCCGGCUAACUCCGUGCCAGCAGCCGCGGUAAUACGGAGGGAGCAAGCGUUACUCGGAAUCACUGGGCGUAAAGGACGCGUAGGCGGGAUAGAAAGUCAGGUGUGAAAUCCUAUGGCUCAACCAUAGAACUGCACUUGAAACUUCUAACCUAGAGUAUGGGAGGGGAAGAUGGAAUUAGUGGUGUAGGGGUAAAAUCCGUAGAUAUCACUAGGAAUACCAAAAGCGAAGGCGAUCUUCUGGAACAAUACUGACGCUAAGGCGUGAAAGCGUGGGGAGCAAACAGGAUUAGAUACCCUCGUAGUC
RNAcentral lists this ribosomal RNA (439 nucleotides) under uncultured bacterium. RNAcentral describes it as "partial 16S ribosomal RNA". It matches the Rfam family "Bacterial small subunit ribosomal RNA", at positions 339 to 795 of the family's 1533-position model. The record is from RNAcentral.